GGUGGGGAUUAGUGGCGAACGGGUGAGUAACACGUGGGCAAUCUGCCCUGCACUCUGGGACAAGCCCUGGAAACGGGGUCUAAUACCGGAUACUGACCAUCUUGGGCAUCCAGGAUGUUCGAAAGCUCCGGCGGUGCAGGAUGAGCCCGCGGCCUAUCAGCUUGUUGGUGAGGUAAUGGCUCACCAAGGCGACGACGGGUAGCCGGCCUGAGAGGGCGACCGGCCACACUGGGACUGAGACACGGCCCAGACUCCUACGGGAGGCAGCAGUGGGGAAUAUUGCACAAUGGGCGAAAGCCUGAUGCAGCGACGCCGCGUGAGGGAUGACGGCCUUCGGGUUGUAAACCUCUUUCAGCAGGGAAGAAGCGAAAGUGACGGUACCUGCAGAAGAAGCGCCGGCUAACUACGUGCCAGCAGCCGCGGUAAUACGUAGGGCGCGAGCGUUGUCCGGAAUUAUUGGGCGUAAAGAGCUCGUAGGCGGCUUGUCGCGUCGGUUGUGAAAGCCCGGGGCUUAACCCCGGGUCUGCAGUCGAUACGGGCAGGCUAGAGUUCGGUAGGGGAGAUCGGAAUUCCUGGUGUAGCGGUGAAAUGCGCAGAUAUCAGGAGGAACACCGGUGGCGAA
RNAcentral lists this ribosomal RNA (622 nucleotides) under Streptomyces caelestis. Its description in RNAcentral is "bacterial SSU rRNA". It matches the Rfam family "Bacterial small subunit ribosomal RNA", at positions 84 to 719 of the family's 1533-position model. The record is from RNAcentral. Lineage: Bacteria; Bacillati; Actinomycetota; Actinomycetes; Kitasatosporales; Streptomycetaceae.